This 465-nucleotide ribosomal RNA is filed under the name Vreelandella stevensii. RNAcentral's name for it is "partial 16S ribosomal RNA". It matches the Rfam family "Bacterial small subunit ribosomal RNA", at positions 338 to 795 of the family's 1533-position model. The record is from RNAcentral. Lineage: Bacteria; Pseudomonadati; Pseudomonadota; Gammaproteobacteria; Oceanospirillales; Halomonadaceae.
CCUACGGGAGGCAGCAGUGGGGAAUAUUGGACAAUGGGCGAAAGCCUGAUCCAGCCAUGCCGCGUGUGUGAAGAAGGCCUUCGGGUUGUAAAGCACUUUCAGUGGGGAAGAAAGCCUUGGGGCUAAUACCCUCGAGGAAGGACAUCACCCACAGAAGAAGCACCGGCUAACUCCGUGCCAGCAGCCGCGGUAAUACGGAGGGUGCGAGCGUUAAUCGGAAUUACUGGGCGUAAAGCGCGCGUAGGCGGUCUGAUAAGCCGGUUGUGAAAGCCCCGGGCUCAACCUGGGAACGGCAUCCGGAACUGUCAGGCUAGAGUGCAGGAGAGGAAGGUAGAAUUCCCGGUGUAGCGGUGAAAUGCGUAGAGAUCGGGAGGAAUACCAGUGGCGAAGGCGGCCUUCUGGACUGACACUGACGCUGAGGUGCGAAAGCGUGGGUAGCAAACAGGAUUAGACACCCCAGUAGUC